RNAcentral lists this ribosomal RNA (460 nucleotides) under uncultured bacterium. Its description in RNAcentral is "partial 16S ribosomal RNA". It matches the Rfam family "Bacterial small subunit ribosomal RNA", at positions 338 to 795 of the family's 1533-position model. The record is from RNAcentral.
CCUACGGGUGUCAGCAGUGAGGAAUAUUGGUCAAUGGGCGCGAGCCUGAACCAGCCAAGUAGCGUGAAGGAUGACUGCCCUACGGGUUGUAAGCUUCUUUUAUCAAGGAAUAAAGUGAGGCACGUGUGCCUUUUUGUAUGUACUUUAUGAAUAAGGCUCGGCUAACUCCGUGCCAGCAGCCGCGGUACUACGGAGGAUACGAGCGUUAUGCUGAUUUAUUUGGCUUAAAGGGAGCGUAGAUGGGUUGUUAAGUCAGUUGUGAAAGUUUGCGGCUCAACCGUACAAUUGCAAUUGAUACUGGCAGUCUUGAGUACAGUAGAGGGAGGCGGAAUUCGUGGUGUAGCGGUGAAAUGCGUAGAUAUCACGAAGAACUCCGAUUGCGAAGGCAGCUUACUAAACUGCCACUGACAUUGAGGCUCGAAAGUGUGGGUAUCAAACAGGAUUAGAUACCCCAGUAGUC